This 409-nucleotide ribosomal RNA is filed under the name uncultured bacterium. RNAcentral describes it as "bacterial SSU rRNA". It matches the Rfam family "Bacterial small subunit ribosomal RNA", at positions 354 to 777 of the family's 1533-position model. The record is from RNAcentral.
GUGGGGAAUAUUGGGCAAUGGAGGCAACUCUGACCCAGCAACGCCGCGUGAGCGAUGAAGGUCUUCGGAUUGUAAAGCUCUUUAAGUGGGGACGAAGAAAGUGACUGUACCCACAGAAUAAGCCUCGGCUAACUACGUGCCAGCAGCCGCGGUAAUACGUAGGAGGCAAGCGUUAUCCGGAAUGACUGGGCGUAAAGGGUGCGUAGGUGGUUCGGCAAGUUAGUAGCGUAAUUCCGGGGCUCAACUUCGGAUCUACUACUAAAACUGUCGGGCUUGAGUGCAGGAGGGGUAAAUGGAAUUCCCAGUGUAGCGGUGGAAUGCGUAGAUAUUGGGAAGAACACCAGCGGCGAAGGCGAUUUACUGGACUGUAACUGACACUGAGGCACGAAAGCGUGGGGAGCAAACAGGA